GAUACCCUGGUAGUCCACGCAGUAAACGAUGAAUGCUAAUUGUCCGUUGCGAGUGAGCGAUGGGUGAUACAGCGAAAGCGUUAAGCAUUCCACCUGGGGAGUACGCCGGCAACGGUGAAACUCAAAGGAAUUGACGGGGGCCCGCACAAGCGGAGGAACAUGUGGUUUAAUUCGAUGAUACGCGAGGAACCUUACCCGGGCUCAAACGCCGUCUGACGUAGGCUGAAAGGCUUAUUUCUUCGGACAGACGGCGAGGUGCUGCAUGGUUGUCGUCAGCUCGUGCCGUGAGGUGUCGGCUUAAGUGCCAUAACGAGCGCAACCCCUGUCGACAGUUGCUAACAGGUUAAGCUGAGGACUCUGUCGAGACUGCCGGCGCAAGCUGUGAGGAAGGCGGGGAUGACGUCAAAUCAGCACGGCCCUUACGUCCGGGGCGACACACGUGUUACAAUGGCAGGUACAGCGGGAAGCCACCCGGCGACGGGGCGCGGAACCCGAAAACCUGUCUCAGUUCGGAUUGGAGUCUGCAACCCGACUCCAUGAAGCUGGAUUCGCUAGUAAUCGCGCAUCAGCCACGGCGCGGUGAAUACGUUCCCGGGCCUUGUACACACCGCCCGUCAAGCCAUGGAAGCCGGGGGUACCUGAAGUACGUGACCGCAAGGAGCGUCCUAAGGUAAAACCGGUGACUGGGGCUAAGUCGUAACAAGGUAGC
This 709-nucleotide ribosomal RNA is filed under the name uncultured bacterium. RNAcentral describes it as "bacterial SSU rRNA". It matches the Rfam family "Bacterial small subunit ribosomal RNA", at positions 781 to 1500 of the family's 1533-position model. The record is from RNAcentral.